This 882-nucleotide ribosomal RNA is filed under the name Bathybothrium rectangulum. RNAcentral describes it as "partial 16S ribosomal RNA". The stretch from base 570 to 882 matches the Rfam family "Bacterial large subunit ribosomal RNA", at positions 2045 to 2646 of the family's 2925-position model. The record is from RNAcentral. Lineage: Eukaryota; Metazoa; Platyhelminthes; Cestoda; Bothriocephalidea; Triaenophoridae.
UUUUGCAUYAUGCUGAUUAGAGUAUAUAAGUAAUACUUAGGAACCGAAAAGACUAGAUUUUCAUAAUAGUUGCACAGGUGGGUGUGUAAACCAGGUAGGUAAUGUAAACUGUUAUGACGUUGUGAUAAAUUAGUCGUUAGUCUUUAUAGCUGUUUUACGUUAAAAUUUUCUUUUUACCCUGUGGGCUAUGAGGUCCACAGGGCAUAUAUACAUUAUAUUUUUAUAAAUUUAAAGGGGUUAAAGUUACCCAUUUAUUAUGUGUUUGUUAAAAGGCUAUUUUUUAUUGAUAGAUGUUAUAUAGAGUUAACGUGUAAAUUUUACUGAUAGUUUUAUUAAUUAAUCGAUAAGUAAUAUGAAUAAUAAUAUUGUUUCUCAGACAUAGCCCGUCUGUUUAUUAAAAACAUUUCCAUAUGAAAUAAUUUAUGGUAUGACCUGCUCUAUGUAUUUUAUAAAUGGCCGCAGUAUUUUGACUGUGCGAAGGUAGCAUAAUUAAUUGCCCCUUAAUUGGGGGCUUGUUUGAAUGGUUUGACGUGGUUAUUUGUUAACAUUAUUUUUUUUAUUGAAAUUAAUAUUGAGGGCACAGAAUCCUCAAGGUUUAAUUAGACGGAAAGACCCCGGGAUCUUUCUUUUUUGCCUGGGGCAGGUUAAAUAUUUUUAUAUUUAUUAUGACCCUCUUACUAGUAAGAGGUUAGUGGUUUAAGUUACCCCGGGGAUAACAGUGUAAUAUUUUAUUAGAGAUCCUAUCGAAUAAAUUGUUUGCUACCUCGAUGUUGACUUAGGUUUAUACCUGGGCGCAGCAGUUCAGGUAUUGGUCUGUUCGACCUUAAUUACCUCCAUGAGUUGAGUUAAGACCGGCGUGAGCCAGGUCGGUUCUUAUCUAUU